Molecule: ribosomal RNA, 264 nt
Filed under: uncultured bacterium
Lineage: Bacteria
Description: partial 16S ribosomal RNA
Rfam family: Bacterial small subunit ribosomal RNA
Source: RNAcentral
GUCCACGCCCUAAACGAUGUCAACUAGUUGUCGGGGAAGCAAUUCCUUGGUAACGAAGCUAACGCGUGAAGUUGACCGCCUGGGGAGUACGGCCGCAAGGUUAAAACUCAAAGGAAUUGACGGGGACCCGCACAAGCGGUGGAUUAUGUGGAUUAAUUCGAUGCAACGCGAAAAACCUUACCUACCCUUGACAUGUACGGAACCUUGCAGAGAUGCAAGGGUGCCCGAAAGGGAACCGUAACACAGGUGCUGCAUGGCUGUCGU